This 409-nucleotide ribosomal RNA is filed under the name uncultured bacterium. Its description in RNAcentral is "bacterial SSU rRNA". It matches the Rfam family "Archaeal small subunit ribosomal RNA", at positions 459 to 868 of the family's 1478-position model. The record is from RNAcentral.
CAGCAGCCGCGGUAAUACCAGCACCCCGAGUGGUCGGGACGAUUAUUGGGCCUAAAGCAUCCGUAGCUUGUUCUGCAAGUCUUCCGUUAAAUCCACCUGCUCAACAGAUGGGCUGCGGGAGAUACUACAGGGCUAGGAGGCGGGAGAGGCAAGCGGUACUCAGUGGGUAGGGGUAAAAUCCUCUGAUCCACUGAAGACCACCAGUGGCGAAGGCGGCUUGCCAGAACGCGCUCGACGGUGAGGGAUGAAAGCUGGGGGAGCAAACCGGAUUAGAUACCCGGGUAGUCCCAGCUGUAAACGAUGCAGACUCGGUGAUGGGUUGGCUUUGUGCCAACCCAGUGCCGCAGGGAAGCCGUUAAGUCUGCCGCCUGGGGAGUACGGUCGCAAGACUGAAACUCAAAGGAAUUGA